AUGAGAAGUGACACCUAUCCCGAGGACGAGCGCAUCCAGGGACGUCACGAGGGUUACGACCCAUCGACUUAUCAGUUCUAGUUAGCGGUUGGUGGCUCUCGAGGUCUUAUUCCGGCUUUCUAACAGACUCUUGACAUGAAGGAAGGAGGUCAUCACUUGCAUGUGAAAUUUGUGCCUUAUGAGCAUCAUGAAGAUUGAUACCACUUCAAGAAGAUAAGAGGAAUAAGUUUGCUUGAAGAUUAAUGAAAAGUUGCACAUGGUUAGGUUAUUCCGAUUUGAUAUCUUGUGAAAGUGUGUUCUUGUUGUAAGUGUGCUUUUUUGCCUUCAUUUGUGGCUAAAGCUUGCUGGCAUAUACUUGAAUUUUUUACGAGACUUGAAUAUUGUUUGUGGGGUAUGCAUGGCAUGCAG
This 408-nucleotide small RNA is filed under the name Malus domestica (apple). RNAcentral's name for it is "sRNA MD13G0103400". The record is from RNAcentral. Lineage: Eukaryota; Viridiplantae; Streptophyta; Magnoliopsida; Rosales; Rosaceae.